GGCCCGUUCGUCUAGAGGUUAGGACGCCGGCCUCUCACGCCGGAAGCAGGGGUUCGAUUCCCCUACGGGCCGCCA
This 75-nucleotide transfer RNA is filed under the name Pseudomonadota bacterium. RNAcentral describes it as "tRNA-Glu". It matches the Rfam family "tRNA". From Rfam's summary of the family: Transfer RNA (tRNA) molecules are approximately 80 nucleotides in length. Lineage: Bacteria; Pseudomonadati; Pseudomonadota. RNAcentral also lists the same sequence under 3 other names. The record is from RNAcentral.